This 344-nucleotide unclassified non-coding RNA is filed under the name soil metagenome. Its description in RNAcentral is "partial contains 5.8S ribosomal RNA, internal transcribed spacer 2, and large subunit ribosomal RNA". The stretch from base 1 to 119 matches the Rfam family "5.8S ribosomal RNA", at positions 35 to 154 of the family's 154-position model. The record is from RNAcentral.
GAUGAAGAACGUAGCGAAAUGCGAUACGUAAUGUGAAUUGCAAAUUCAGUGAAUCAUCGAGUCUUUGAACGCACAUUGCGCCCCCUGGUAUUCCGGGGGGCAUGCCUGUCCGAGCGUCAUUGCUGCCCUCAAGCACGGCUUGUGUGUUGGGCCCCGUCCUCCGAUUCCGGGGGACGGGCCCGAAAGGCAGCGGCGGCACCGCGUCCGGUCCUCGAGCGUAUGGGGCUUUGUCACCCGCUCUGUAGGCCCGGCCGGCGCUUGCCGAUCAACCCAAAUUUUUAUCCAGGUUGACCUCGGAUCAGGUAGGGAUACCCGCUGAACUUAAGCAUAUCAAAAGCGGAGGA